ACAGCCGAUCGGUUUGUCGCUGCCUUGUUUACUUAAACAAGAAGAGGAAAGUCCGGGCAACACAGAGCAUCAUAUUUCCUAACGGGAAGCUGUCUGUAAAGGCAGAGUAAGGUAACAGAAAAUAACCGCUCCCCCCGCGAGGGGAGUAAGGGUGAAAAGGCGGGGUAAGAGCCCACCGGUCUGUAUAGUGAUAUAUGGAGCCGUACUACUUAUGAGUUGCAAGACCAUGUAUACCGACGCACGUAGGGCUGCUCGCCCGAUGUCGGGGGGUAGGUCGCUAGAGCCUGUUGGCAACAUCAGGUGUAGAUAAAUGACAAACACCUCAUUCGUGAGGUACAGAACCCGGCUUACAGAUUGGCUGUUUUU
RNAcentral lists this RNase P RNA (366 nucleotides) under Dysgonomonas sp. OttesenSCG-928-M03. RNAcentral's name for it is "RNase P RNA component class A". It matches the Rfam family "Bacterial RNase P class A". From Rfam's summary of the family: Ribonuclease P (RNase P) is a ubiquitous endoribonuclease, found in archaea, bacteria and eukarya as well as chloroplasts and mitochondria. Its best characterised activity is the generation of mature 5'-ends of tRNAs by cleaving the 5'-leader elements of precursor-tRNAs. Cellular RNase Ps are ribonucleoproteins. Lineage: Bacteria; Pseudomonadati; Bacteroidota; Bacteroidia; Bacteroidales; Dysgonomonadaceae. The record is from RNAcentral.